This 449-nucleotide ribosomal RNA is filed under the name uncultured bacterium. RNAcentral's name for it is "partial 16S ribosomal RNA". It matches the Rfam family "Bacterial small subunit ribosomal RNA", at positions 29 to 523 of the family's 1533-position model. The record is from RNAcentral.
AACGAACGCUGGCGGCAUGCCUAACACAUGCAAGUCGAACGAGAUCUUCGGGUCUAGUGGCGCACGGGUGCGUAACGCGUGGGAAUCUGCCCUUUGGUUCGGAAUAACAGUUGGAAACGACUGCUAAUACCGGAUGAUGACGAAAGUCCAAAGAUUUAUCGCCAGAGGAUGAGCCCACGUAGGAUUAGCUAGUUGGUGUGGUAAAGGCGCACCAAGGCGACGAUCCUUAGCUGGUCUGAGAGGAUGAUCAGCCACACUGGGACUGAGACACGGCCCAGACUCCUACGGGAGGCGGCAGUGGGGAAUAUUGGACAAUGGGCGAAAGCCUGAUCCAGCAAUGCCGCGUGAGUGAUGAAGGCCUUAGGGUUGUAAAGCUCUUUUACCCGGGAUGAUAAUGACAGUACCGGGGGAAUAAGCUCCGGCUAACUCCGUGCCAGCCGCCGCGGUAA